Molecule: unclassified non-coding RNA, 492 nt
Filed under: Hevea brasiliensis (rubber tree)
Lineage: Eukaryota; Viridiplantae; Streptophyta; Magnoliopsida; Malpighiales; Euphorbiaceae
Source: RNAcentral
AAAUAUGAGGCGGGUACUAGUUAUCGAUUAUUUGGCAUUGAGCUCAUAAAUCGUUUUACAAGCUCUCUUCCUGUUGAGAUUGAGAAGGCACCUGCACAACCAGUUAGCAUAUCUGUUGGCCCCACUGAGGGGCAUGUUCUGAGUACACUCUCAGCAGUUGAUUCUGAUAAAAAAUCGAUAUGAUGUGUCCAAAGAAAAGAAACCAGAACAAUUACAAGUAUCACCAAAAGAUGUUCAGAGCAGGCAAAGUUGUUCUGCUUCCACAAGAAGUCGCACCAAGGUUCAAAUGCAGGGGAUUGCUGUCGGUCGGGCCAUAGACUUGACCAUGAUGAAAGGGUAUGAUCAGCUCUUAGAUGAGCUGGAGGAGAUGUUCGACAUUAAGGGACAGCUUCACUGUCAUAAGUGGGAAAUUGUCUACACUGAUGAUGAAGGGGAUAUGAUGCUUGUUGGUGAUGAUCCAUGGCUUGAAUUCUGUAACAUGGUUAGAAGGAU